GAUGAACGCUAGCGGCAGGCCUAACACAUGCAAGUCGAGGGGCAGCACAGAAACAGCAAUGUUUUGGUGGCGACCGGCGGACGGGUGCGUAACGCGUAUGCAACCUACCUUUAACAGGGGGAUAACGGAGAGAAAUUUCCACUAAUACCCCAUAACAUCGAUCAAGGCAUCUUGAUUGGUUGAAAACUCCGGUGGUUAAAGAUGGGCAUGCGUUGUAUUAGGUAGUUGGUGAGGUAAUGGCUCACCAAGCCUACGAUACAUAGGGGGACUGAGAGGUUAGCCCCCCACACUGGUACUGAGACACGGACCAGACUCCUACGGGAGGCAGCAGUGAGGAAUAUUGGUCAAUGGGGGCAAGCCUGAACCAGCCAUGCCGCGUGCAGGAUGACGGCUCUAUGAGUUGUAAACUGCUUUUGUUCGAGGGUAAGGUGGGUUACGUGUAACCUUUUGAAAGUAUCGUACGAAUAAGGAUCGGCUAACUCCGUGCCAGCAGCCGCGGUAA
Molecule: ribosomal RNA, 502 nt
Filed under: uncultured bacterium
Lineage: Bacteria
Description: partial 16S ribosomal RNA
Rfam family: Bacterial small subunit ribosomal RNA
Source: RNAcentral